UACGCUCCAGCAAUUUUCCCGCCUCGUCC
This 29-nucleotide small RNA is filed under the name Bombyx mori (domestic silkworm). Its description in RNAcentral is "ovarian small RNA-21106". The record is from RNAcentral. Lineage: Eukaryota; Metazoa; Arthropoda; Insecta; Lepidoptera; Bombycidae.